AAUGAACGCUGGCGGCAGGCCUAACACAUGCAAGUCGAGCGAGCAUUUCGGUGCUAGCGGCGGACGGGUGAGUAACGCGUGGGAACGUGCCCUUUUCUGCGGAAUAGUCCUGGGAAACUGGGGGUAAUACCGCAUACGCCCUUUUGGGGAAAGAUUUAUCGGAGAAGGAUCGGCCCGCCUUGGAUUAGGUAGUUGGUGGGGUAAUGGCCCACCAAGCCGACGAUCCAUAGCUGGUUUGAGAGGAUGAUCAGCCACACUGGGACUGAGACACGGCCCAGACUCCUACGGGAGGCAGCAGUGGGGAAUCUUAGACAAUGGGGGCAACCCUGAUCUAGCCAUGCCGCGUGAGUGAUGAAGGCCUUAGGGUUGUAAAGCUCUUUCAGCUGGGAAGAUAAUGACGGUACCAGCAGAAGAAGCCCCGGCUAACUCCGUG
Molecule: ribosomal RNA, 433 nt
Filed under: uncultured bacterium
Lineage: Bacteria
Description: partial 16S ribosomal RNA
Rfam family: Bacterial small subunit ribosomal RNA
Source: RNAcentral